CCUACGGGGGGCAGCAGUGGGGAAUAUUGCUCAAUGGACGAAAGUCUGAACCAGCGAAGCCGCGUGAGGGAAGACGGUCCUCGGGUUGGAAACCUCUGUCUUUGGGGGAGAAAAUGACGGUACCUAUAGAGGAAUCUCGGGCGCACUACGUGCCAGCAGCCGCGGUAACACGCAGGGGGCGAGCGUUGUCCGGAAGUACGGGGUGUAAAGCGGGCGUAGGUGGGUGAGAAAGUUGGCGGUAAAAUCUACCGGCUAAACUGGUAACGGCGUUCAACACUUGUUGUCUUGAGUGACGGAGAGGCAGGCGGAAUUCGUGGUGUAGCGGUGAAAUGCGUAGAUAUCAGGAAGAACACCAGUGGCGAAGGCGGCAUGCUGGCGCUUAACUGACGCUGAGGCUCGAAAGCGUGGGGAGCAAACAGGAUUAGAUACCCCAGUAGUC
RNAcentral lists this ribosomal RNA (439 nucleotides) under uncultured bacterium. RNAcentral describes it as "partial 16S ribosomal RNA". It matches the Rfam family "Bacterial small subunit ribosomal RNA", at positions 338 to 795 of the family's 1533-position model. The record is from RNAcentral.